UGGGGAAUAUUGCGCAAUGGGGGAAACCCUGACGCAGCGACGCCGCGUGUGGGAUGAAGGUCUUCGGAUUGUAAACCACUGUCGCGAGGGACGAAGCUCUGACGGUACCUCGAAAGGAAGCACCGGCUAACUCUGUGCCAGCAGCCGCGGUAAUACAGAGGGUGCGAGCGUUGUCCGGAAUCACUGGGCGUAAAGGGCGCGUAGGCGGCCCGGUAAGUAGGGGGUGAAAUCUCAUGGCUCAACUGUGAGGCUGCCUUCUAGACUGCCAGGCUUGAGCACAGUAGAGGCGAGUGGAAUUCCCGGUGUAGCGGUGGAAUGCGUAGAGAUCGGGAAGAACAUCGGUGGCGAAGGCGGCUCGCUGGGCUGUUGCUGACGCUGAGGCGCGAAAGCGUGGGGAGCAAACAGGAUUAGAUACCCCGGUAGUCCCUGAGCGGGCUGGCAAGGCG
This 446-nucleotide ribosomal RNA is filed under the name uncultured bacterium. RNAcentral's name for it is "bacterial SSU rRNA". It matches the Rfam family "Bacterial small subunit ribosomal RNA", at positions 355 to 822 of the family's 1533-position model. The record is from RNAcentral.